CUUGGUCAUUUAGAGGAAGUAAAAGUCGUAACAAGGUUUCCGUAGGUGAACCUGCGGAAGGAUCAUUAUCGAGUUUUGAACGGGUUGUCUGCUGGCUCGCAAGGGCAUGUGCACGCCUGUCUCAUCCACUCUCAACUUCUGUGCACUUUUCAUAGGCCGGCUUGUGGGUGCGUUCGCGCACUUGUAGGUGUCGGGCUUAUGCUUUAUUACAAACGAUUCAGUUUUAGAAUGUCAUACUUUGCUAUAACGCAAUUUAUAUACAACUUUCAGCAACGGAUCUCUUGGCUCUCGCAUCGAUGAAGAACGCAGCGAAAUGCGAUAAGUAAUGUGAAUUGCAGAAUUCAGUGAAUCAUCGAAUCUUUGAACGCACCUUGCGCUCCUUGGUAUUCCGAGGAGCAUGCCUGUUUGAGUCUCAUGGAAUUCUCAACCUUCAGCUUUAUUGAUGAAGGCUUGGACUUGGAGGUUGUGCCGGCUCUCGUAGUCGGCUCCUCUGAAAUGCAUUAGUGCGAACGUUACCAGCCGCUUCAGCGUGAUAAUUAUCUGCGUUGCUGUGGAGGGUAUUCUAGUGUUCACGCUUCUAACCGUCUUCGGACAAAUUUCUGAACUCUGAGCUCAAAUCAGGUAGGACUACCCGCUGAACUUAAGCAUAUCAAUAAGCGGAGGA
Molecule: ribosomal RNA, 664 nt
Filed under: Bjerkandera adusta
Lineage: Eukaryota; Fungi; Basidiomycota; Agaricomycetes; Polyporales; Phanerochaetaceae
Description: eukaryotic LSU rRNA
Rfam family: 5.8S ribosomal RNA (bases 262-415)
Source: RNAcentral